AUACGGAGGGUGCAAGCGUUAAUCGGAAUUACUGGGCGUAAAGCGCGCGUAGGCGGAUUGUUAAGUCUCAUGUGAAAGCCCUGGGCUCAACCUGGGAACUGCAUGGGAUACUGGCAGUCUAGAAUACAGUAGAGGGUAGUGGAAUUUCAGGUGUAGCGGUGAAAUGCGUAGAGAUCUGAAGGAACAUCAGUGGCGAAGGCGACUACCUGGACUGAUAUUGACGCUGAGGUGCGAAAGCGUGGGGAGCAAACGGGAUUAGAAACCCUAGUAGUCC
Molecule: ribosomal RNA, 274 nt
Filed under: uncultured bacterium
Lineage: Bacteria
Description: partial 16S ribosomal RNA
Rfam family: Bacterial small subunit ribosomal RNA
Source: RNAcentral